Gavia stellata (red-throated loon) is the source of this 1391-nucleotide non-coding RNA. Lineage: Eukaryota; Metazoa; Chordata; Aves; Gaviiformes; Gaviidae. The record is from the annotation of a RefSeq genome assembly.
AUGCUAGCCACGAUAUUCCCUGGCCAAGCCCAGCUCGGAGCCGUGCUAGCCACAAUAUUACCCGUCAAGGCCAACAGUCCCACGGUCUACCCCUUGAUCUCCUGCGAGGAAUGCAAGGACACGGUGACCUUCGGCUGCUUGGUCAACGAUUUCUUCCCCGAACCCGCCACCGUCACGUGGGUUUCCAGCGUGGCGGGGACCAGCGAGACCUUCCCGGCCACCCCUAACGCAGAAACUUCUACAGCCUCAGCACCGAGUUCACCGUCCCCUUCAGCAGCUUGGAGGGCAACACCUUCCAGUGUAAGGUCAACCACAACGGCAACACCAUCACCAAGGACAUCACAGGUGAGAAGGAGAUAUGUCAUGACGCUGUCCCCGUGGUCACAAAGCUCCUGAGCGACCCCAACAAGUACCAGCGCGAGGACAAGGUCCUGCUGAUGUGCCUCAUCGAGGGGAAGAACGCUGCCGACGCCGCGGUGCAAUGGUUUAUGAACCACGAUGCGGCGGACCUGCACCCGGUGGACUACUCCUGUGACAAGUGCACCCAAGACAAGGCCACCUUCACGAGCCAGGUCAACGUCAGCCGGCAGAGCUGGGACCUGGGGGCCGAGUUCUCCUGCCAAGUGACCCACAGCUCGCUGAAGGAACCCAGCGUCCUCAGCAUCAGCACCUUCUGCUCAGACAGCAGACCCGAAGUGGAGGUCACCAUCCUCCCCCCAUCCUUGGAGGACCUCUACCUCAGCCAGAACGCCAGCGUCACCUGCGUGGCCACCAACCUGAAGUCUCACGAGGACGUGAAGUUCUCCUGGAGCCGGGACACGGGCAGCGCUUUGGACGUCACCUCCGGGACGGCCGAAAAACUGCAGAACGGUCUUUACCGCCUCACCAGCACCCUGAAAAUCUGCGCCGACGAGUGGAACUCCGGGGAGAAGUUCACCUGCGCCGUCAACAUCCCCGAGCUCGACCACCCCGUCACCAAGUCUAUUAAGAAAGACAUAGACGUCUCCGUGAAGGCGCCUUCCGUCUACGUCUUCCCGCCGCCGGCUGAGGAGUUGGCCCGUCAGGAGACGGCCACCUUGACCUGUUUGGCUUUGGGCUUCCGGCCCCGGGAUAUCUUGGUGACCUGGACCCAGCAGGACCGUCCCGUGUCCCGCGGCAGCUUCUCCGUCUUCGGACCUCAGGAAGAAGGAGAUACCUACACGGUCUACAGCAAGUUGAGCGUGCCGGCAGCCGACUGGCAACGGGGCGACUCCUUCGCCUGCGUGGUUGGCCACGACGGCAUCCCCAUGAACUUCGUGCAGAAGAACCUGGACAAGACCAUCGGUAAACCCACCGCCGUCAACGUCUCGGUGGUCCUGGCCGACGCCGACGUCACCUGCUACGGAGCUUGA